This 460-nucleotide ribosomal RNA is filed under the name uncultured bacterium. RNAcentral describes it as "partial 16S ribosomal RNA". It matches the Rfam family "Bacterial small subunit ribosomal RNA", at positions 338 to 795 of the family's 1533-position model. The record is from RNAcentral.
CCUACGGGAGGCAGCAGUGAGGAAUAUUGGUCAAUGGGCGCGAGCCUGAACCAGCCAAGUAGCGUGAAGGAUGACGGCCCUACGGGUUGUAAACUUCGUUUAUAAAGGAAUAAAGUGAGGCACGUGUGCCUUUUUGUAUGGACCUUAUGAAUAAGGAUAGGGCAACUCCGGGCCAGCAGCCGCUGUAAUACGGAGGGUCCGAGCGGUAUCCUGGUUUAUUGGGUUUAAAGGGAGCGUCGGGGGGUUGUUAAGUCAGUUGUGAAAGUUGGCGGCUCCAACCUAAAACUGCCUUUGAAACGGGCAGCCUUGAGUACAGUUGAGGUAGGCGGAAUUCGUGGUGUAGCGGUGAAAUGCUUAGAUAUCACGCAGCACUCCGAUUGCGAAGGCAGCUUACUAAACUGCGACUGACAUUGAUGCUCGAAAGUGUGGGUAUCAAACAGGAUUAGAUACCCCAGUAGUC